This 856-nucleotide unclassified non-coding RNA is filed under the name Leishmania donovani. Its description in RNAcentral is "gene:unknown". Lineage: Eukaryota; Euglenozoa; Kinetoplastea; Trypanosomatida; Trypanosomatidae. The record is from RNAcentral.
UCUCACGCAACCCUCGAUGACAAGGUGAGGUGGGGGGGGCACACCUCACACACACACACACCUCAGUGCGUCGUAUCGAUAUCUUCGGACCCUCUCCGUAUGGGGAAGCCGAGCAGCCUCGCCCGCCCCCCCACCUCUGUCAAUGCACAACCACCUCUGGUGGGUGGCAGGGCCAGGUGCCUGCGGCGUAGGGGGAGGCCAGUGCGAUGUACCGCCACUGAUGCCGGCGGUCAGGUCCUGGAUGGCGCUUCAUCGGAGAGAGCUGCGACAGUGAAUACGCUUGCACUAUCCACAUGAUGGGCAGCGUGUCGACGUGACUCGACCGCAUCUCAGUCGGCCCUUGCUGCCCGCUGGUGGGUGAGCCUGAGCCAUCCCAAGCGAUGCGCCAGCUGGCGACCUGCUCAGCGUGGAGUGGCGGGCAGAGUUUGAGGCAGGGGCCGUGCUCCGAUGGCUGAGUCGGCGCAUCGCUGUAGCGCGUAUGCCUACGGCUGCUUCGCACCACGCGAUGGGUGGCGUGUGGCACGGCGUGUGGGCACAGCGGCCUUUGACCUCACGUUGUGUGCGGCAGCGAAAAGAAAACGGGCACGUGCCGAAGAAGAGAAAUCGGUUUCACACCAACGGUCUUUGCUGCCGCUACCGUCUCACAGACAGCAGUCCGCGGGCCCGCUCCCGCAUGUCUGGGCAUCCAUCCGAAGAAGAGGGCGCGCGUACGCUGUCGUUCAUUCCCUUCAUCCUUUCCGUGCACCGCCGUCGUUUUCGGCCUCUGUAGCUCUCUACUCACCCCACCCCACCUCCGACACACACGCGCAUCAUCCGCCUUCUCCCUCCCUUUUCGCUGAGCCCUUUUGAUGGGAAG